This 921-nucleotide ribosomal RNA is filed under the name uncultured archaeon. Its description in RNAcentral is "bacterial SSU rRNA". It matches the Rfam family "Archaeal small subunit ribosomal RNA", at positions 1 to 922 of the family's 1478-position model. The record is from RNAcentral.
UUCCGGUUGAUCCUGCCGGAAGCCAUUGCUAUCGGAGUCCGAUUUAGCCAUGCUAGUCGAGCGAGGUUAGCCCUCGCGGCGAACAGCUCAGUAACACGUGGCCAAGCUACCCUGCAGAGGGGGACAGCGUCGGGAAACUGACGGGAAUCCCCCAUACCGGUCUCACGCUGGAAUGCCGAGACCGACAAACGCUCCGGCGCUGCAGGAUGCGGCUGCGGCCGAUUAGGUAGUCGGUGGGGUAACGGGGCCACCGAGCCGAUAAUUGGUACGGGGUGUGAGAGCACGAGCCCGGAGACGGAAUCUGAGACAAGAUUCCAGNNCCUACGGGGCGCAGCAGGCGCGAAACCUUUACACUGCACGAAGGUGCGAUAAGGGGACUCCGAGUGCGAGGGCAUACAGUCCUCGCUAUUGUGUACCGUAGGGUGGUACACGACCAAGAGCUGGGCAAGACCGGUGCCAGCCGCCGCGGUAAUACCGGCAGCUCGAGUGAUGGCCGACUUUAUUGGGCCUAAAGCGUCCGUAGCUGGCCCUGCAAGUCCGUCGGGAAAUCCACUCGCCUAACGAGUGGGCGUCCGGCGGAAACUACAGGGCUUGGGACCGGAAGACUUGAGGGGUACGUCUGGGGUAGGAGUGAAAUCCUGUAAUCCUGGACGGACCGCCGAUGGCGAAAGCACCUCAAGACGACGGAUCCGACAGUGAGGGACGAAAGCUAGGGUCUCGAACCGGAUUAGAUACCCGGGUAGUCCUAGCCGUAAACGAUGUUCGCUAGAUGUGGCACAGGCUACGUGCCUGUGCUGUGUCGUAGGGAAGCCGAGAAGCGAACCGCCUGGGAAGUACGUCCGCAAGGAUGAAACUUAAAGGAAUUGGCGGGGGAGCACUACAACCGGAGGAGCCUGCGGUUUAAUUGGAUUCAACGCCGGG